CUUUCCCUCUUUCUUCAUGCCUUACACAUGCAAGUCGAACGGCAGCACGGGUGCUUGCCCCUGGUGGCGAGUGGCGAACGGGUGAGUAAUACAUCGGAACAUGUCCUGUAGUGGGGAAUAGCCCGGCGAAAGCCGGAUUAAUACCGCAUACGAUCUACGGAUGAAAGCGGGGGACCUUCGGGCCUCGCGCUAUAGGGUUGGCCGAUGGCUGAUUAGCUAGUUGGUGGGGUAAAGGCCUACCAAGGCGACGAUCAGUAGCUGGUCUGAGAGGACGACCAGCCACACUGGGACUGAGACACGGCCCAGACUCCUACGGGAGGCAGCAGUGGGGAAUUUUGGACAAUGGGCGAAAGCCUGAUCCAGCAAUGCCGCGUGUGUGAAGAAGGCCUUCGGGUUGUAAAGCACUUUUGUCCGGAAAGAAAUCCUUGGCCCUAAUACGGUCGGGGGAUGACGGUACCGGAAGAAUAAGCACCGGCUAACUACGUG
RNAcentral lists this ribosomal RNA (486 nucleotides) under uncultured bacterium. RNAcentral describes it as "partial 16S ribosomal RNA". It matches the Rfam family "Bacterial small subunit ribosomal RNA", at positions 36 to 507 of the family's 1533-position model. The record is from RNAcentral.